Molecule: transfer RNA, 87 nt
Filed under: Alkalimonas amylolytica
Lineage: Bacteria; Pseudomonadati; Pseudomonadota; Gammaproteobacteria
Also listed under: 14 other names
Description: tRNA_Leu_TAA
Rfam family: tRNA
About the family: Transfer RNA (tRNA) molecules are approximately 80 nucleotides in length. Their secondary structure includes four short double-helical elements and three loops (D, anti-codon, and T loops).
Source: RNAcentral
GCCCGGGUGGUGAAAUCGGUAGACACAAGGGAUUUAAAAUCCCUCGAGGGAAACCUCGUGCCGGUUCAAGUCCGGCCCCGGGCACCA